This 250-nucleotide ribosomal RNA is filed under the name uncultured bacterium. Its description in RNAcentral is "partial 16S ribosomal RNA". It matches the Rfam family "Bacterial small subunit ribosomal RNA", at positions 524 to 773 of the family's 1533-position model. The record is from RNAcentral.
UACGUAGGGUGCAAGCGUUAAUCGGAAUUAUUGGGCGUAAAGGGUGCGCAGGCGGUUAUAUAAGUCAGAUGUGAAAUCCCUGGGCUUAACCUAGGAAUUGCGUUUGAAACUAUAUAACUAGAGUGUGACAGAGGGGAGUGGAAUUCCAUGUGUAGCAGUGAAAUGCGUAGAGAUGUGGAAGAACACCGAUGGCGAAGGCAGCUCCCUGGGUUAACACUGACGCUCAGGCACGAAAGCGUGGGGAGCAAAC